Molecule: small nuclear RNA, 191 nt
Filed under: Diplodia corticola
Lineage: Eukaryota; Fungi; Ascomycota; Dothideomycetes; Botryosphaeriales; Botryosphaeriaceae
Description: Botryosphaeria corticola U2 spliceosomal RNA
Rfam family: U2 spliceosomal RNA
About the family: U2 is a small nuclear RNA (snRNA) component of the spliceosome (involved in pre-mRNA splicing).
Source: Rfam by way of RNAcentral
UUAGCUCUCUUUGCCUUUUGGCUUAGAUCAAGUGUAGUAACUGUUCUUUUUAGUUUAAUCUCUAGAACGCCCCUACGGGGGUCUACUACUUUGCUUGUUUUUAGAACCUGAUCGGUGGCCGCUGAGCUCCGCUUAUGUCACUGAUCACAGUGUCGCCUGUAUUGCACUGUCUCGGGCUGAUGCGAACUUAC